UGCUGCCCUCGGCUUCUCUACAGUGCUGCCUUGUCGCAUGGGGAUCAAGCAGCAUUGUACAGGGCUAUGAAGGCACUG
Ovis aries (sheep) is the source of this 78-nucleotide microRNA precursor. It matches the Rfam family "mir-103/107 microRNA precursor family". From Rfam's summary of the family: This family consists of the mammalian microRNA (miRNA) precursors mir-103 and mir107. Lineage: Eukaryota; Metazoa; Chordata; Mammalia; Artiodactyla; Bovidae. The record is from Rfam.